This 489-nucleotide ribosomal RNA is filed under the name uncultured bacterium. RNAcentral describes it as "partial 16S ribosomal RNA". It matches the Rfam family "Bacterial small subunit ribosomal RNA", at positions 28 to 507 of the family's 1533-position model. The record is from RNAcentral.
GACGAACGCUGGCGGCGUGCUUAACACAUGCCAGUCGAACGGUGAAGGGACCAGCUUGCUGGUUCUGGAUGAGUGGCGAACGGGUGAGUAACACGUGAGUAACCUGCCCCCUUCUUCUGGAUAACCGCACGAAAGUGUGGCUAAUACGGGAUAUUCUGGGUCUGUCGCAUGGCGGGCCCGGGAAAGAUAUUGCUUCGGUGGGGGAUGGGCUCGCGGCCUAUCAGCUUGUUGGUGGGGUGAUGGCCUACCAAGGCGGUGACGGGUAGCCGGCCUGAGAGGGUGGACGGUCACACUGGGACUGAGACACGGCCCAGACUCCUACGGGAGGCAGCAGUGGGGAAUAUUGCACAAUGGGCGCAAGCCUGAUGCAGCGACGCCGCGUGAGGGAUGGAGGCCUUCGGGUUGUAAACCUCUUUCGCCAGUGAAGCAGGCCUGCUCCUUGUGGGUGGGUUGACGGUAGCUGGAUAAGAAGCGCCGGCUAACUACGUG